Molecule: transfer RNA, 77 nt
Filed under: Chryseobacterium artocarpi
Lineage: Bacteria; Pseudomonadati; Bacteroidota; Flavobacteriia; Flavobacteriales; Weeksellaceae
Description: tRNA-Lys
Rfam family: tRNA
About the family: Transfer RNA (tRNA) molecules are approximately 80 nucleotides in length.
Source: RNAcentral
AAUCUCAUAGCUCAAUAGGUUAGAGCACCGGUCUUUUAAACCGGGGGUUGAAAGUUCAAAUCUUUCUGGGGUUACAA